UGAAGUAGAAUUUAUUACAAGUCCAGCACCUCCUUCAGAAAUUGGGUACUUUUGGCAUCGUUUCCUUUGAUCACUCUCCAAUGGGCUUCCACCCUCUGAUACAUAUGAUGAUUCAUUUUUGCUCUCCGAUCCAUCAUUCCUGCGGAUACCAUCAGAAAACCAAGUUACAGGAGCAUCUUCACCAGCUACACGGGCUGGAUGAUCCCACCGGAAACUCCAUGACGGAGAACAGCGAAUGUUCCGAUGUAAGACAUCAUAGGUAGAUCCACUUUGUACAGUUUUCAAUUAUCUUUUGGGAGCUCCAAGAAGACUUCUCAGUUAAAAGUUUUGAGCAAACACCACAUGUUUGGAAAUCAACCGGAGAUGUUGAAAACCGAUUACUUGAUCUAUGUAACCUUUCAGGGUUAAAACCAAAUGAUUCACUAUCAAACGACCAUCUUUCUCUACGAGAAGUUCCCAUCAGCUCAGAAAAGCCAGGCACAGACCAACCAUCUGAAGAUCCAUCACGGGAGUGCAUACCCAAUUCAUUGUUCCAUGAGGGAAAUACUGGCUUUUCUUCAGACACGUAGAAGCUGCUUGGUGACUUGCAUCCUGGGACUCGGCUGUUAGAAACUUGCCAUAAUAGUUGGUGUCCUGGGGACUGGUAGGGCGACCUUGAUGGGGUUGAGCUGGAGGGUGCAAGAUGACUUUGCGAUGGCAGAGGAGACGCCGACAGCGAAGUAGAAGGUAAUGAUGAUGGCGGCUUUGUCGGAGAUGUACCUGACACUGUUGAUGAUUCUUCCAACCCCUUCACCUAUAAAGUGAUUCAUAAAUAGGAAGUUUGUCAAAUAAACCACACAUAAAGAACAAGCAAAAACAUAAAACAUUAACAGAUUCCUUCACUGCUAUAACCUCACCUGUUCCACGUUCACAUCCAUGGAGACAUUCGUAGAAAUAGAUUGAUCUGAAACAAACAUGUCAGAUACUAUAAAUCAAGCAGUUGAGUCAAUAAUAAUUACCACUGGAUCAAUAACAUGAGCAGUUUACAUAUUGUUAACAGCAGGAUCAAUGUCAUGCAUGGACACACAGGAUGCAUAUAUGCAGAAACAAAUCAUAUGAACUUCACAAUAUAUAGUCAUUGCUUAGCCCUCAUGCAAGGAAAACAUAAGUUGCAAAUGUCAACAAAAAAUAAUUUUCAUCCAGGGAUUUCCAUUGUUAAUCGAUCUGUAAUGUCACUAUAAAAUCUUGCAAACUUCUAGUUAACCCAAAAAAAAAAAUUCAGACCAUCAUCAUCCAUGAUUUUUUUUAUAAGGGAAACUUCCAUGACCAUAGCUUACAAUAUUUUCUUUUUCAUUUACAUAACCACAUACUGGACUGUGAUGAACCAUUCCUCACUAAAAAAUACAACCAUCUCUAUAUCAAAUUAUCAAAUGCCAACAGUGAGGAAAAAGUUUCAAUAAUCUAUUCAAACGAAGAGGCAAACCUUUCUAUCCCACUUGACUUGAAACAGACUGUCAAUAUACACUCUGAUAGAAUUUUAUACUCAAGGUCAAGAGUCAAGAUAACAAGCACUAGGGCUCAAGGCCAGUUAUUGCUUUGUACUGCAAUGAAUAAUCAAUAAAGGGGGCAGUGCAACUUAUACAGAAAUUAGAAAAUUGUGGGCACUGUUAACUUAAGAUGAGUCCCAUUACAUGUUCUACUAACAUGCAUUAUGCUACACUAUGCAGAGAGUAGAUACAGGAAGGAACAUCAAAACACCUAUAGAAUAUUGAACAUCUCUGCAUGGUAAUAUAUGACUAAGCUCUAAGUACCAUGUUCUCCCUGCUUUUCUCUUGUUUCACCCAUUUUAAGAUAUAAAAUGCAGAUAAAGGAAUUUUUAUGUCUUUUUUGGAUAAGCAUCCAGAAGAAAUGGGAAUAAAAUAUUUGUAAAAACCCAGAUAACUUAUCAGAAUUCAGACAUGCUGAUGUACUGAUGGUCUACUUUUUCCUAAACCACAAAAUGAUUACAAAUAAAGAGCCGCCUUCAAAUUUUAGGCCAGAUAAGCCCUCUUGAUUAGUGUUUAGGCCAGAUAAGCCCUCCUAAUUAGAGUUUGUCUACCACAUUAUCAUCUAUCUUUCUCCAGAUUGGCUAGUACAUUAAUGUCAUAAAAAGUAAUCUGUUCCAUUUAUGGAUUCAUUAUUCUUCUUUGUUACUAAUUUUAAAAUUUUCUGUGUCUGAAAGCCCUAAUGAAAAAACAUGAGAAGACAUCAUGUUUCCAGAUUUCAUGUAGCACAGUGAAUAUAUUUAUAUCUUCCACACAGACUUGCGAUUAUAUGUUUCACUCUGAGUAGUAGAUGGUGGUGCUAUUGACCGCUAUAGCAGAAUUGUGACAUGGAUUACAUUCUCUCCACUAUGAUUCACAUGGAGGGGGCAUCACAGUCGCAUUUGCGGCCAGAGUCGCAGCCCAUAGCAGCCUGUAGCCGCUGAUGGCUGUGACAGUGAAGAGGUGUUAGGGUCAUUCUUUCCUGAUGACGGCAGUCUUCUUUUCUGAUACAAUCAGGGUUUUAACAUUUCACAUUUCUGUUUCCCUUGCCUUUUUUACAACUUUACUCUCACAUAUCAAUAUUAGAUUUUAACCCUUUAACUCAGUAAAUCUCUAUUUUGCUCUCUUCUAUCUUUUUAAAUGUCCUACCCUCAUUUAAACUUGAUAAAACUCUAUUUUACCCUUACUAUCACUCUUCCCCAAGACCAGCUUUUUCACUCUAUCUUCUUCUACUUCCUCUGUUUUCUCUCACUUCUUUUGCUUCAUUCUUCUACUUCCUCCUCGCCAAAACCCAUUGCAGAGACCAACUCUGUUCUGGGUCCUUCUUCAUCACACCAGGGCUAGUCAAAGUCUCCAAGACACUGCGUUCUUCUUCUACAAUGAGUGGCAUUUAGGUCAUAAUUGCCACCCCAAACGUCUCAAUAGUGACCAUCCCGCUAGUGUCGGCUGCUCCGCUCCACUAUUAAUGAUUGACUACUUAGAUUUCAUUCUAUUUAACACUAGGCUUCCCACUUAUCUCAUAUCAGAUGGUAAAUAGUACAAGAAUGAAGUGAAUAACAAAUAUCCACAACAACCAAGUCUUAAUCCUACUAAAUGAGGUCGGCUUUAUGAAUUGAACGACGUUAUAAUGCUCUAUCAUAAGUAUUCCAACCCAAGUAAGAACAUGGUUAAAACCAUUGAAAGUUACCUGAAGUAGAAUUUAUUACAAGUCCAGCACCUCCUUCAGAAAUUGGGUACUUUUGGCAUCGUUUCCUUUGAUCACUCUCCAAUGGGCUUCCACCCUCUGAUACAUAUGAUGAUUCAUUUUUGCUCUCCGAUCCAUCAUUCCUGCGGAUACCAUCAGAAAACCAAGUUACAGGAGCAUCUUCACCAGCUACACGGGCUGGAUGAUCCCACCGGAAACUCCAUGACGGAGAACAGCGAAUGUUCCGAUGUAAGACAUCAUAGGUAGAUCCACUUUGUACAGUUUUAUCUUUGGCUGCAACACAACAAGCAGCACCCAUUCCGAGAUAGACAACAGUAUUUAGCUUUUUAUAGUAACGCAACC
Molecule: long non-coding RNA, 3549 nt
Filed under: Lupinus angustifolius (narrow-leaved blue lupine)
Lineage: Eukaryota; Viridiplantae; Streptophyta; Magnoliopsida; Fabales; Fabaceae
Description: long non-coding RNA (LANG_LNC001427)
Source: RNAcentral